AUUCCAGCUCCAAUAGCGUAUAUUCAAGUUGUUGCAGUUAAAAAGCUCGUAGUUGAACUUUGGGCCUGGUUAAGUGGUUUAGCCGCAAGGUUAACACUGCUUUGACUGGGUCUUUACUUUUAGGAAAUUAAAGUGCUAUUCAUUUAGUGCUUUAAGGAACUAAAACUGUUACUUUGAAAAAAUUAGAGUGUUUAAAACAGGCUUAUGCUUGAAUACAUUAGCAUGGAAUAACGGAAUAGGACUUUGUUUCUAUUUUGUUGGUUUGAGAAAUGAAGUAAUGAUUAAUAGGGACAGUUGGGGGCAUUAGUAUUCCAUUGUCAGAGGUGAAAUUCUUGGAUUUAUGAAAGACUAACUUCUGCGAAAGCAUUUGCCAUGGAUGUUUUCAUCA
This 388-nucleotide ribosomal RNA is filed under the name Chytridiomycetes sp. Its description in RNAcentral is "partial small subunit ribosomal RNA". It matches the Rfam family "Eukaryotic small subunit ribosomal RNA", at positions 582 to 975 of the family's 1831-position model. The record is from RNAcentral. Lineage: Eukaryota; Fungi; Chytridiomycota; Chytridiomycetes.